UACGUAGGGGGCAAGCGUUGUCCGGAUUUAUUGGGCGUAAAGAGCGUGUAGGCGGUUUGGUAGGUCCGUUGUGAAAACUCGAGGCUCAACCUCGAGACGCCGGUGGAAACCAUCAGACUAGAGUCCGGAAGAGGAGAGUGGAAUUCCUGGUGUAGCGGUGAAAUGCGCAGAUAUCAGGAGGAACACCAAUGGCGAAAGCAGCUCGCUGGGACGGUACUGACGCUGAGACGCGAAAGCGUGGGGAGCAAACAGG
RNAcentral lists this ribosomal RNA (253 nucleotides) under uncultured bacterium. RNAcentral describes it as "partial 16S ribosomal RNA". It matches the Rfam family "Bacterial small subunit ribosomal RNA", at positions 524 to 776 of the family's 1533-position model. The record is from RNAcentral.